GCCUGGCUGGUUCAGGGGGUAGAGCAUGUGGCUCUUGGUCUCAGGGUCGUGAGUUCAAGCCCCAUGUUGGGCG
Molecule: transfer RNA, 73 nt
Filed under: Mustela putorius furo (domestic ferret)
Lineage: Eukaryota; Metazoa; Chordata; Mammalia; Carnivora; Mustelidae
Rfam family: tRNA
About the family: Transfer RNA (tRNA) molecules are approximately 80 nucleotides in length. Their secondary structure includes four short double-helical elements and three loops (D, anti-codon, and T loops).
Source: Rfam by way of RNAcentral